UGGGGAAUAUUGCACAAUGGGCGAAAGCCUGAUGCAGCAACGCCGCGUGCGGGAUGACGGCCUUCGGGUUGUAAACCGCUUUCAGCAGGGACGAAGGUUUUCUGACGGUACCUGCAGAAGAAGCACCGGCUAACUACGUGCCAGCAGCCGCGGUGAUACGUAGGGUGCGAGCGUUGUCCGGAAUUAUUGGGCGUAAAGAGCUUGUAGGCGGUCCGUUGCGUCGGAAGUGAAAACUCAGGGCUUAACCCUGAGCCUGCUUUCGAUACGGGCGGACUUGAGGGAUGUAGGGGAGAACGGAAUUCCUGGUGGAGCGGUGGAAUGCGCAGAUAUCAGGAGGAACACCAGUGGCGAAGGCGGUUCUCUGGACAUUUCCUGACGCUGAGAAGCGAAAGCGUGGGGAGCAAACAGGCUUAGAUACCCUGGUAGUCCACGCCGUAAGCGGUGGGCACUAGGUGUGGGA
RNAcentral lists this ribosomal RNA (460 nucleotides) under uncultured bacterium. RNAcentral's name for it is "partial 16S ribosomal RNA". It matches the Rfam family "Bacterial small subunit ribosomal RNA", at positions 355 to 827 of the family's 1533-position model. The record is from RNAcentral.